AUUGAACGCUAGCGGGAUGCCUUACACAUGCAAGUCGAACGGCAGCACGGACUUCGGUCUGGUGGCGAGUGGCGAACGGGUGGGUAAUGUAUCGGAACGUGCCCAGUAGCGGGGGAUAACUACUCGAAAGAGUAGCUAAUACCGCAUACGCCCUACGGGGGAAAGGGGGGGAUCGCAAGACCUCUCACUAUUGGAGAGGCAGUAAUCGGGUUAGCUAGUUGGUGGGGGAAAGGCCCACCAAGGCGACGAUCCGUAGCUGGUUUGAGAGGACGACCAGCCACACUGGGACUGAGACACGGCCCAGACUCCUACGGGAGGCAGCAGUGGGGAAUUUUGGACAAUGGGGGCAACCCUGAUCCAGCCAUCCCGCGUGUGCGAUGAAGGCCUUCGGGUUGUAAAGCACUUUUGGCAGGAAAGAAAUCGCAUGGGUUAAUACCCUGUGUGGAUGACGGUACCUGCAGAAUAAGCACCGGCUAACUACGUGCCAGCAGCCGCCGUAA
This 500-nucleotide ribosomal RNA is filed under the name uncultured bacterium. RNAcentral's name for it is "partial 16S ribosomal RNA". It matches the Rfam family "Bacterial small subunit ribosomal RNA", at positions 30 to 523 of the family's 1533-position model. The record is from RNAcentral.